AAGGGCACCACAAGAACGCGUGGAGCAUGUGGCUUAAUUUGACUCAACGCGGGAAAUCUUACCGGGUCCGGACACACUGAGGAUUGACAGGCAAUCGACCAAUUUGGUUAUUCUUAAUGUAUGGUGCUUGCAUUAUGCAUUGUGAAUAGCUAAUUUGCUGCAAACAUGAAGGUCCUUUCAUGAUUGUGUGAUAGGUGGUGCAUGGCCGUUCUUAGUUCGUGGAGUGAUUUGUCUGCUUAAUUGCGUUUUUUCACUCAGAGAUUACUUUAAUUAGGUACUUGUUAAUUCGUUUCGCUCUUUCUUAAUGGCUGAGACAAUUAACAUUUACUUAAUUGUGUCUCUGCUUGCAACGAACGUGACCGCAACCCCUUGUUGCCUCUCUUACUUCAACCUUGUAUGCUUUACUGAUUUUGCAUUUAUGUGAUUGAUGUAUUGCAUAUUUAUGGUUAGUAGAGGGAAACUAGGGGGACUGCUGACAAAUCUCAAAACAGAGGAAGGUUGCGGCAAUAACAGGUCUGUGAUGCCCUCAGAUGUUCCGGGCUGCACACGUGCUACAAUGAUUAUUUCACUGAGCAUCUUUGAAUUAAGUUCACGGUUAAGGAUUUUCCUUUUAAAUUAGUUUCUGCUAAUUUUCUUGGAUGCCUUUCUCGUGACGAGCCUGCUUCGAAAGUUGCAGGUAAUCAAUUCGAAGUAAUGAUUUCCUGUGCACAUCUCCAUAUGUCCCUUAAUUUUUAAAAUUUUAUUGUGCUUUCGAGUGCAAUUGAUUUUAAGAACUUAAGUGGGCAUGUGCGUCAUUAAUUCGUGGUGGGGACAGACCAUUGUUAAUUCUUGGUCUCGUCUUAACUAGGAAUGCCUCGUACGGGUUUUUGGUUCAACAGACCACCCGGAAUAUGUCCCUGCCCUUUGUACACACCGCCCGUCA
This 922-nucleotide ribosomal RNA is filed under the name Allogromida sp. duplin_quartzball. RNAcentral's name for it is "SSU rRNA". It matches the Rfam family "Eukaryotic small subunit ribosomal RNA", at positions 1160 to 1678 of the family's 1831-position model. Lineage: Eukaryota; Foraminifera. The record is from RNAcentral.